AAGAAUAUAUUUAGAAAUUGAAUUAAUGAUGUCAUGCUACUAUACAUUAUACAGGGUGUCCCGAAAAGAUUGGUCAUAAAUUAUACCACAGAUUCUGGGGUCAAAAAUAGGUUGAUUGAACCUUACUUACCUAUAUACAAUAGUGCACACAAAAAAAGUUACAGCCCUUUAAAGUUAAAAAAUGAAAAUCGAUUUUUUUUCAUAUAUCAAAAACUGACAGAGAUUUUUUAUUGAAAAUGGACAUGUGGCAUUUUUAUGGCAGCAACAUCUUAAAAAAAAAUUAAAGUGGAAUCUGUGCACCCCAUAAAAAUUUUAUAGGGGUUUUGUUCCCUUAAACCCCCCCAAACUUUUGUGUACGUUCCAAUUAAAUUAUUAUUGUGGUAUCAUUAGUUAAAUACAAUGUUUUUAAAACUUUUUUGCCUCUUAGUACUUUUUCGAUAAGUCAGUGUUUAUCGAGAUAUUUUGAAUAUUUGUCGAAUCCACCACAUAUUUGUAUAUGGUAAGUACGAUUAAAGAGACCUGUUAAUAAUCUGAAAAUUUAUUUAUCAUUAUAUUUUUAGGUAUAUUUUGAAAAAGAAGCUACAUCUCGAUAAAAGGUGACUUAUGAAAAAAAGACUAAGAAGCAAAAGUUUUAAAAACACUGUGUUUAACUAAUGGUACCACAAUAAUAGUUUAAUUGGAACGUACACAAACAUUUGGGGGGUUUAAAGGAACAAAACCCCCAUCAAAUUUUUACGUAAAUAUAUUGAAAAAGAAGCCACAUCUCGAUAAAAAUUGGCUUAUCGAAAAAAAAAUGGGAGGCAAAAAAAAUUUAAAAACGUUGUGUUUAACUAAUGGUAACACAAUAAUGAAUUAAUUGGAACGUACACAAAAGUUUGGGGGGGUUUAAGGGAACAAAAUUCCCAUAAAUUUUGUAUGGGGUGGACAAAUUUAACUGUAAUUUUGUUUUAAGAUGUUCCUGUCAUAAGAAUGAUACAUGUCCAUUUUUAAUAAAAAAUCUCUAAUAGUUUUCGAUAUAUUGAAAAAAAUCGAUUUUCAUUUUGUAACUUCAAAGGGCUGUAACUUUUUUUAUGAGCACAUUUGUACUAAGGUAAGUUAGGUUCAAUCGAACUAUUUUUGACCCCAGUAUGUGUGGUAUACUUUAUGACCAAUCUUUUCGGGACACCCUGUAUAUAUAGCAAGCAUAUACAGCUACUAUACAUUAUAUAUAUAAUAGCAUGACAUCAUUAAUUCAAUUUCUAAAUAUAUUCUUCCAUAUAUAUUUAUUUUUCUUAAUAUCUAUGCGAGUUGGGGUGUUAUGAAUAGGAUCGUAUCCAACUUGGUGUCUAUGCAUUUUGACGUUGCGACCCUGACAGAAAUUGUGGGGACAUCUGAUGACUGUCUCAAUUUGAAUCAAAUAAAUUUUCCUAUUGGGCUGACCAACUAUCCCUAUAUAAACAAUGCUAUUAUAUUUGUUUUUUGAAUGUUCUGAGAAUGUCUAGGUGUCAUUUGACUGUUUGAUGUAUUCUUGAAACAUUUUUUGACAGGUAACUUUAAUACUAACAAAAUAAAUCACUUAAAAUUUAACGUUUUAUUUCGUUUUCCAUAAAACUUAAAGAUAUACAGAUACGGAAAAAUUUUAUGGUGGGUAUUACAAAAUCAGCGAGAGAUACUCACAGAGAUAAUAGCAUGAUAUUUCCAUUCAUUAGAGAGAGAUGAAAAUCAUAUAUCCUUCUAGCCUUCCGAUUGAAAUCCGAAUGUUUCCGAUUGAAUAUAUCACUGUUUUAAAUAACAUCCUGCGUUGCCAGGUGUAUGAUAAUUAUUGUUUUUUCUGAAAUAAGACAUUUUGACGGUAAUCCUCUAUUUACUAAUUUCAGUGUUUUUGUAUUGUCUGCGUUAACUUUACCUCAUUCAUAAGCAAGUUGUGAAACAUUUCAAUCAGCUUAUAUUCAAAAGAAUUGUGUCAAUUUUACACUGACAGAAAUAAUGGUUACAACUAUAAAUUCAACCAAUUUAUACAAAAAAGAAGCUGAUGAUGAACUUGAAUCGAAUUAGUUUGGUGGCUUGGUGUUCUUAUAUAGCUAUACCGUUUUAAAUAUAUGUCUCUCAGUUGUUAACGUUGAAAGCCCGGUAAAUUUUUCCGAUAUUGGAUGUUGAAAACUAUUUACAGUGACAUGUGUUUGCUUAUAGCAGCCAUACUUUUUGCAGAUAUUAGAAUAUCUACAUUAAUAUAUGCUUAUUAACCUUAUUAACCUAACAACCAUAGAAAUAUAAUACUUAGACUGCGCGCUGCCAUCUAAAACUAUCUGACGAUUGCGACAGAGAAAACUGAGGCUAUUAGUUCGGAAGACUCUUUCUAAUCGACGAGGUUGAUCCAAUGACGUUGACGUUGACGUUUGCACUGUCGCCGAUUUGAUAAACUCCUCCGAUUAGAAAGAGGACUUCCGACCUAAUCUGCCGUCCUCAAAUAAAACGCGGUAUGUGCAGCCAACUUAAAACCGAGAAAUCGGCUCUCAAUGUUUUUUUUCAGGAUUCUAUAUGUUUUGACAACUUUUUAACGCAAAACAUGUUCUAAUGAUAGUUAAACAUUAUUUAAAAAUAAAUUAAAAAAAAUCAAUUUUUUAUCAAAGCUGUAAAUAAAAAGUCAUAUUUUUUUUUAAUUGAGCAGUGGACAUAUUACUGGAUCAGAAAUAGUGCCGUAUCUGCAUUUUAUUUACAAAUAUAGUUUUUUACAAGGAGGAAUAGUUACCAAAAAAGAAAAAUAAAUAGCUUAUAAUUGUUUUUUAUAUACGCAAAAUACCUACAAGCCAUAAAUGUUCAAAAUACGAGGUCGCAACAUCAGUCUCAUAAAACGCGGUAAAUGCGCUGUGCUCAAUUAAAACGCGGCAAGUACAUGAUACUCGCUAGCACAUACCGCUUUAUAAUUUAGUACUCUGUAGAUACCGCAUUUUAAUUAAGCAACUAUUGAAAUUUAGCACAUACGGCAUAUUCCAAUUUGUUUAUUUUGGUAGUAAAUAAAAUGAUACGGCUUUCAGACAUCGCAAAAGCAUAAAUAUGGUCACAAGGAAACCACAUAUAGCAAAAACUCGAUUUUCAAUUUUUUUGCAGAUACCGCGUUUUAAUUGAGGACGGCAGUAAUAGCCUCAGUUUUGUCUGACGUAAUCGUCAGAUAGUUUAAGAUAGCAGCGCGCAGUCUAGGUAUUAUAUAUCUAUGAUUUUACCUAACAUAACCUAAAAAUAAUUUCUACAGCUGUCAUAAUAACCUAAACGCUAUGCAACGUGUUGAAACGCCAUAAUCGCUAGAUGCUGUUUGUUCGGUAUAUUUAAGAAACAAUAUCUGAAUGUCUUAGUAUUUAUUAUAAAGGAAAUCAGUCUAAAAGUAUGCCGGUCGAAAGAGCAUUAUAAUUUUUUCCAUCUGUGUGUUCAAAAUUGCUGUGAAAUUUCUGUCAGCUAAAACAUAUAUAUUCUUUUAAUAUUAUUGACUGUAUUUGUUUUUACCAAAGUCGUGUAAUAAAUUAAUUGUAUAGUUAUAUGUUCGUCUGCUAAAGUUGGUGACAAAUUUUAUGAAUUUAUUGACGUUUGUUUAUAAUUUAUAAUGUACACUAUAUAGUGUUAUUCUUUCUUUAUUUAAACAUUUUCAUAAUAACGAUUUUUAAAUAUUCUUAACCGCUCUUGAAAUGUUCAAUAGCUUUACUGAUUUUUCACUUUUUUUCAGUAGACUCUCUUUAUAACGAGAACUGAAAUGGAAGACUAAUUACCGCGUUAUAAGCAGAUCUCGUUCAGACAAUAAUAAUAUUGAAAUGUUUUGAUGCCUCUUAUAUAGUUUAUUAGGUGUCGAUGGUCGACUUAAACAAUGAGACUUCGCCAUCGUAAAUUGUAAAUUUCCUACAGUAUUCAAUAUCAGUCAAUAGAUACACAGGAAGUUUAUUACAGGCGGUGGAGUUUAUUACAGCACUGGCCUCGAUAAUAACACAGAUGUUGGGCAUUUCUAUAUACAGGCAGUUGGGGUAUUUGUUUAUAGCCACUACUGCGCUAAAAAACGCAAAGAAACGUAUUCUUCGAUUUCAUUUUUCCUCGUUAUAACCAAAUAUGCCACGUUAUAUAGGUGUUAUAAAUAUGAAUUUCAUCGGACAUCUAGUGUACCUCGUUAUAAGCGAAACCUCGUAAUAUCCGUGUUCGUUAUAGAGAGAGUCCACUGUAAUACACUUUUUUAAUUGACGUAAAAAAUUUAAGUAAAGUAAAGGAAAAUACUAAUGGAUAUUGUAUACAAAAUACAAAUUAAUGGACCACCAAUUUGACAUCAACAAUGUUUAACAGAUGAACAUGCGAUAUAAUCGUAAGUAUUAUGAAAAUUGUCAUUCCAUUUAGAAUUCUAAUAAAUUAAUAUUGUUGCUUGAGGGGGAGGUUACUAAUAACGUUAAAAAUGUUACUUGGGUAAUACAACAUUCUAAUUGGUUCCUUAGACAACAAAAUAUAUCUUUCUAAAAGACUGUAGAGUUUUUCUAUAUAGCAUUUCACGUUAAGAAUAGAACAUUGCGAAGAUAGCGCCAUGUAUUUCUUAUGGACGAUAGAAAUGGCAUGGCGCUGAUGCCAUGCCGUACUGACUAGAAUGAAUCGUAUAUCGGCAGUCGAGGAUUCACCCGUGCGUGAGAGGUUUGGCAACACUGAUCUCCGUAAGCGUAACGUUCUAUUCUUAACGUGAAACAAAGUAUAGUUCAAAAAUACACUGGCAGGCAAAAAAUGUACGUCACAUUUAAAUUUUGUAUCCGGUUUCUUAGUAGGCACCGAUAUACUGGUUUUCGAGAAAUUAUCUCUCAUUCAAGUCAAGCAGAGCUUAGCAAAAGGAUCACCCUAUCCAAUACUUCAUAUCUUGCUAUGAACGAGAUAUUUAUACCACGGGACGUACUUUAAAGAAUAUACGAAUAAAAAAUGAAUAAACAUUUUCAGUUUUGUUGCAACCCGAAACUGCAGUCGUAUUAUAUUUUUAGUUCAAUCAGAGAGUACAGCAAGCAUCUCUACCGGUUUCGGGGCUUCGUAGCCCCUCAUCAGGAGAUACAUAUGCUCUUCUCUGUAACAGAACCAGGUUAAUACUCCGCGUGCAGUCACGAACGAAAUGGCAGGGAUGCACUGGCGACAUCUGCUAGAAAAAAUUUUAAUCUAAUAGCACAUAAAAUGAUAUUAAAAAUACCAUUUUAUAUCGUACCAGAUUAAAAACAAUGGAAAACUUUCUUUGGUUACAACAUUCGAGCCUUCUAAAAAUGCAAGCCAUACGGAUUCUGAGACUAGAGGAAGAUGAGGGAAUUUUACAAUUCACAUCCCACAACUAAUAUACGAAUCUACAAGACCAUAACCCAACCGAUAGUGAGCUAUGGAUAUGAAACCUGGAUAUUGACUCAAAAAUCUAUAAACCGCAUGGACAUCUUUGGAAGAAAUGUACUGAGACGAAUACCACGACCUAUAAAUGAGAACAACAGUUGGCGAAUCAGAUACAAGAACCACCUUUAUCUCAGUAUGUCCGCUUACAGUGCCUUCAAUGGACAGACCAUGUAUUUAAAUGUAAGAAUACAGAGGAAGAGAACUAUCCGAACGUCAAAAAAGCGAUGGGAGGAUAAUGUGGAAGAGGACGCAAGAAAUCUCCUUAGCAGUCGGUCGUGGAGGAGAAUGGCAACAUACCAUAACAAAUGAAGAGGUUUGUUGAGGAAGGCCAGGUCUCGAGUUUGGCUGUAGAGCUAUAAGAUCCAUCCUAUCUACAUCCCAGUGUAUGCAAGUGUAUAAUUUUCUAAUAAUAAAUAAUUAAAAAUCUCUGUAUUACCCAAGUAUUUCAUGAGUAGCAAAUGCUCUCUAAAUAUGUAUGACAAUGUAAUUGGAUCUUAAAAUGUUUAAUGUUACAAAAUUUGUAAAGAAUUGUUCCAACCAAUGCUCUCGAUAUAUUGAAUCGAUGUGCUGUAAUAUACAGUUGAGUCCCUGAAUCUUAACCCGUGCUCAUCAUUUAAAGCAUACGAAAUAAGUCGAUGAUAAGUCGGAAAUUGAAAUUUACUAAACGCAACAGGAAGUGACAGUAAUUGGCAAUUUAUAUUGUCUUAUCUUAUAGUUUUCUAAUUGUACAGAUUAUAUUCGUAGAUGUAUUAUAUAAUUCGUAAAUAAUUUUUUUUUCGAUUAUAGCGCCAUCUAUCGACAACAAUGUCUGUAAUCACAGACUUGCCUUUUUUUCUGUCACAUACAAUUUAAUGCAUUAGAAAGAAAUCGAAAAACUGUGACGCACUGAAAAAUGCUCAUGAAAAGGACUUUACCUACAUAUAUAACAGAAUUGUUUACUUCAUUCUACGUUGUCUUUUUUAUAUUACGAAAUGGCAUUGUGUGGGACAUUUCUUUCACUAUUUAGCUGAGAUUGCAAUUCGCAAUAUAGGAAAAUUGUAUGUAACUGUUAUCAAUUAAGUAAAUGAUGAAAAUAUAAAAGCAAAUCUAUCUCAAUUCAUAUUUGAGGCCAUGAGAGCCAGAGUGGCCUAACUGAUUUUAACAUUACUUUACAUAAUUAAAAAAAAAUUGAUCAGAAGCUAACAAUGUCCGCUUGUUUUAGUAAUUGUAUGUUGACUAAUAAUGAUUCUUGAUCAACAUAAAACUACUAAAGCAAUCGGACAUUGUUAACUUCUGAUCAUUUUCUUUGAUUAUGUAAAGUAAUGUCAAAAUCAGUUAGGCCACUCUGGCUCUCAUGACCUCAUUUGAAAUAAAUUUUCUUGAAAAAUUUAUUUAGUAAAAAUCCGUUAUAAAAGGUAUAUAUUUAAUUAAAGUCCCUUAAAGGGCUACAUCAUAAUCCCAGAACGUUUUCGAUCAAAAAAGAUCAUCAUCAGUGCUGAAACAGGAUAAUAACAUGCUGAGCCACCAAAAUAAAAAUAUGUGGGUAAAAACCCUUUAAAAGUUAAAAAAGAUCAAGGCAGGUUUUGUUUAUAUUUGAUUCAGAGUUGGACCACCAUCUCCAUAUAGCUAUUUCAGCAUCCUUAUGCCUCAUCGUGGGGGCAUCGUGGGCUUAUGGGGCUUUUCGUUGUUUUCCUUUAAAAGUAUUACAAUUAUGAGAAAUUUACCUUAUUGUGUUUAACUAUCAGUUGAAAUUGUCCUAGAUUUAGCACUAGGCAUGUGGUUAACUGGAGGAGAGCAGCCAGGGACAGAGAUAACAGCCCCCAGGGAGGGGGCAGGGCCCGACUUGGGUUGUAGCGCCAUAGGCGAGAGAAAUGUCAGUGGGUUUCCUCAGUAAUUGGGUUUGAAAUAAGGAGCUGGUGUUAGAGAGCGUUUUGAUUUAAAUCUGUCUCCUGCCAUCCCCGAUAGUACUAUUUUGUCAAGUAGGCCCUGCAGAAGACAAAUUUACACCAAAACAUCCGUAGUUCUCGGUACAAAAAUAAAACUAUUUAUACCGUAGUAUGGUUAGAACGCCCUCUAACGGAGAAUAAGUGAAAUGAAUGUCGACUCGAUUCAAGUUCUCUGUUUAACCCAGAUAUGACAAUAUCAAAAGGCGCCGCUAGGAAAAUAUUCCAAUAUGCGGUUCAGAGAACCUGUAUGAAACGAGUCUUUGUACUCUAAUACAGAGUAUGGCAUUAUUAAAAUUAGAAAGUUAGAUAAUUAGAUAACUUUCUAAUUUUACUAAUGCCAUACUCUGUAUUAGAGUACAAAUACUCGUUUCAUACAGUUCUCUGAACCGCAUAUUGGAAUAUUUUCCUAGCGGUGCCUUUUGAUAUUGUCAUAUCUGGUUAAACAGAGAACUUGAAUCGAGUCGACAUUCAUUUCAUUAAAACAAAAGCAAUGAUGUCGGAAUUAUUGAUAUAGAUUUGAUUUCAUAUUUGAAAAUUGUCUUAUAAUAUAUUGUAACUCGAAAACAAGGGAUGGAAAUUGUAAUUUUAUGGUACAUUUCAAAGAAAAACGAUGGUUUUAAGAAGGAAAUAAUACAGUAAUCGCCAACUAGAAAGAACCAACGCGACUUAUCUUUAGUAUCUUCAAAUGAAGCCGAGAAGCCGUUGAUGGAUGAUGUUAACAAACUGUCAGGCUGAAAUUAAACGACCGCGUGAGUUUAUUUUUAUUAAUUUAUUAUUGUAGCGGUUUUUUUACUUAAAUAACUUAUAAUUACAAAGAAACAAGCGGUUCGUAUUUAUAUACGAUUUUAUUUAUAUAACAGUACAGACGAAUUUAUUUUUACAGACUAACUACUAAAAAAUCCAUCCUUAUUUAUAUUGAAUACAAAAAUAUGAGUCAUGUUUUUGAACGUUCCAGAAAAACGGAACCGCCCAACUUUAGUAGUGUAGGCGAUCAUUCUCGAGAAAUCUUUUCCUCGCUCGUCUAAUGAGUCAUCCUUCCAGAUGUCUGCUUACGUGACGCGCUGUCGAGACGGAACCUGUUAUUUACGGUCGGUAAUUCGUCACAUUAUGUUAUAAAAAUAUCCCUAGACUUUUCCUAUGUGUGUAUUUGCGAGUGCAAUUGGUUUUAGACCGUAGUUUUAAAACAGUUGCGCCGUGGGCACUGGACCUAAGAUGAUGAAGAUUAGAAUUUGGCCUUUCUAGUUGGCGAUCACCGUGCACUAAUAAGUAUACGAAUAAUGUUAUAAAAAUGUAUUAAACAUCUGCGUAAAAAGACAAUUUUCCUGCGUUGUUAUCGAGAAAUUCAUAUGUUGAAUAUAUUUCUGUGGUAUUUUAAAAUUUUUAAAUAUCGGUUAUAUUUGAUGGUUACAUAUUUAUCUGGAAUAAACGUAUAGAAUGCAAAAA
This is a long non-coding RNA of Diabrotica virgifera virgifera (western corn rootworm), 8723 nucleotides long. RefSeq lists it as uncharacterized. The transcript is spliced from 2 exons. Lineage: Eukaryota; Metazoa; Arthropoda; Insecta; Coleoptera; Chrysomelidae. The record is from RefSeq and is a predicted model, not a curated record.